This 1027-nucleotide ribosomal RNA is filed under the name Staphylococcus aureus. RNAcentral's name for it is "partial 23S ribosomal RNA". It matches the Rfam family "Bacterial large subunit ribosomal RNA", at positions 237 to 1267 of the family's 2925-position model. Lineage: Bacteria; Bacillati; Bacillota; Bacilli; Caryophanales; Staphylococcaceae. The record is from RNAcentral.
CCCUUAGUAGCGGCGAGCGAAACGGGAAGAGCCCAAACCAACAAGCUUGCUUGUUGGGGUUGUAGGACACUCUAUACGGAGUUACAAAGGACGACAUUAGACGAAUCAUCUGGAAAGAUGAAUCAAAGAAGGUAAUAAUCCUGUAGUCGAAAAUGUUGUCUCUCUUGAGUGGAUCCUGAGUACGACGGAGCACGUGAAAUUCCGUCGGAAUCUGGGAGGACCAUCUCCUAAGGCUAAAUACUCUCUAGUGACCGAUAGUGAACCAGUACCGUGAGGGAAAGGUGAAAAGCACCCCGGAAGGGGAGUGAAAUAGAACCUGAAACCGUGUGCUUACAAGUAGUCAGAGCCCGUUAAUGGGUGAUGGCGUGCCUUUUGUAGAAUGAACCGGCGAGUUACGAUUUGAUGCAAGGUUAAGCAGUAAAUGUGGAGCCGUAGCGAAAGCGAGUCUGAAUAGGGCGUUUAGUAUUUGGUCGUAGACCCGAAACCAGGUGAUCUACCCUUGGUCAGGUUGAAGUUCAGGUAACACUGAAUGGAGGACCGAACCGACUUACGUUGAAAAGUGAGCGGAUGAACUGAGGGUAGCGGAGAAAUUCCAAUCGAACCUGGAGAUAGCUGGUUCUCUCCGAAAUAGCUUUAGGGCUAGCCUCAAGUGAUGAUUAUUGGAGGUAGAGCACUGUUUGGACGAGGGGCCCCUCUCGGGUUACCGAAUUCAGACAAACUCCGAAUGCCAAUUAAUUUAACUUGGGAGUCAGAACAUGGGUGAUAAGGUCCGUGUUCGAAAGGGAAACAGCCCAGACCACCAGCUAAGGUCCCAAAAUAUAUGUUAAGUGGAAAAGGAUGUGGCGUUGCCCAGACAACUAGGAUGUUGGCUUAGAAGCAGCCAUCAUUUAAAGAGUGCGUAAUAGCUCACUAGUCGAGUGACACUGCGCCGAAAAUGUACCGGGGCUAAACAUAUUACCGAAGCUGUGGAUUGUCCUUUGGACAAUGGUAGGAGAGCGUUCUAAGGGCGUUGAAGCAUGAUCGUAAG